Molecule: long non-coding RNA, 1896 nt
Filed under: Sarcophilus harrisii (Tasmanian devil)
Lineage: Eukaryota; Metazoa; Chordata; Mammalia; Dasyuromorphia; Dasyuridae
Description: lncRNA (ENSSHAG00000026706.1)
Source: RNAcentral
CAAUAUCAUAAAGAACUGAAUUAAGGAUACUGGAUUUGGUGAUAAGGACCUUUGAUGAAGAAAUUUCGGCAGUGGUGGGAACAAAAGUUGGAUUAUCCUAUUAAGGGCUGAGAUUUAUAUAGUGCCCACUGUCUGCCAGGUACUGUGCUAAGUAUGAUAUAUCAUCUCAAGAGUUCUAUUAUUAUUCCCAUUUUACAGAUGGGGAGACUGCGGCAGUCAGUGAUGAAGUGAGUUGCCCAAAGUCAUAUAGCAAGGUCACAUAUGAACUCAGAUCUUCCUUACUUUAGGACACAUACCUGAGCCACCUAGUUACCCGUGAAGGAGGAGUCCAAAUUGGACAACCUAGAUCUCAGUGAAAAGGAGGAUGAGUUAUCUACUUUAAGGGGAGGUCACACAGGCAGGGUUGACUGCUUGAGGGACAAGGAAGAAGUUAGGAAUGGUGAUGGCACAGAAUGAUAUAAAAAAAUCAAUAAAUGCUAGCUUGUGAGCCUGGGCAAGUCAUUUGCAAAAAAAAAAAAAAUCAAUAAAUAUUGAAUAGAAGGAUUGCUGAGGAACAGUGUAGACCUAAAUCUAGAGUGGGUAUCUUCAACACAGUUUUCAGACUCUGUCCAGCAACUUUUGGCAGCCAAAGAAUAGAAGCAGAGAAAUCUCUGGUGGGAUUUCCCACCAGAGUGGGAGGCACCUUGGGUUGAAGAUGAGUAGGGCAACUGUGAUGGGAGGUCAAGAAGGGGCCAGAUUCCGGUAGCUGUUGACUGGAUGGAGUUAAGCCUGGAAGAGAGGUAAGUGGAGUACCAGGAAGAAUCUGAAAUAAUGGGAAAAGAUCUCAGAAACAGCCUUUAGAAGAUCCAAGGUCUUGGUGUUCUUGUUCUCUAUCCAUUGAUUUUGAAGGGUAAUUGAUAGGAGAUAGGUGAAGUCAUCAAGUAACUGGGGUCAGUGAGCAAAUGCCCAAAUCUGGGAUCUUGGAGAUGGGACAGUUCUGAGAGCCAUCCACUGUAGGGCGCAGUUGAAAUGAAUGGACAGAGACAUAGUUGGAUUGUUGCCAGGCAAUCCUCUACUUGCUUUAACUCACUAGCCCACUUUACAAAGCAGCUCUUUUCAUCCCUCCUGAAAUCUCCAUUGGUUCCCCCUCCUCCUUGUCUCUCAGCUAAGAACUUUGCCUCUCAUUUUACAGGGGAAAAAAGGGAGGCCAUUCCUCCACGAGGCGCCUCUUCUUCCCUUUUCCUCAUCUCAUCACUCAGACCCUUUCUGCCACUACCUCCUCCUUCCCCUGUCUCACAUGAGGUCAUCUUAUUCCUUACCAGAACUAACCCUUCUCCCAGCUCAAAUGAUUUCUUCCUGUGUCUAUAGAUUUCUCCAUGUCAUCCUCAUCCAGUCAGUUCUCUUCUAUCCCUCCGUCUACUAGCUCCCUCCUUCCCUACUACCAGGGCCAUUUCCAGUCAUCCUGAUCUGAAUCUUGCCACUGGACCCAGAUGGCUCUGGAGGGGAAAAUGAAGCCGGUGACCUUGGCCAGCCCUCCCUCUCUUCAAUCGCUUGCGUGUCUUAGCAUCGCCUCCCCGAUGUUCUGGUCCGCUUCAAGAAUGAAGGACAAAGAACAACCCACCCACAAACAUGCCCAUGUCUCUCUUCCUCAUUCUCAGAUAACCCCACCUCGAUCCUUCCAUCCCCAUCAUCCUCCUAUAUCUCUUUCUGACCUUUGUGGCUAAGCUCCUCAAAAAGCUCUCUACAACAGGUGCCUCUAUUUUUUCCUCAACCCUUUACAAUCCAGCUUCCAACCUUAUGGCUCCACUGAAUUUCUGUCUCCAAAGCCACUAAUGAUUUCUUAGUGGCCAAAUCCAAUGGCCUUUUCUCAAUCCUCAUUCACUUCAACCUCUCUUUGGCCUCAUUCUUCCUUCCCUG